RNAcentral lists this ribosomal RNA (253 nucleotides) under uncultured bacterium. Its description in RNAcentral is "partial 16S ribosomal RNA". It matches the Rfam family "Bacterial small subunit ribosomal RNA", at positions 524 to 776 of the family's 1533-position model. The record is from RNAcentral.
UACGGAGGGGGCAAGCGUUGUUCGGAAUUACUGGGCGUAAAGGGUUCGUAGGUGGCUUUCUUAGUCAGACGUGAAAUCCCUCGGCUUAACCGGGGAACUGCGUCUGAUACUGGCGAGCUUGAGUGCAGGAGAGGAAAGCGGAAUUCCAGGUGUAGCGGUGAAAUGCGUAGAUAUCUGGAGGAACACCGGUGGCGAAGGCGGCGUUCUGGACUGCAACUGACGCUGAGGCGCGAAAGCUAGGGGAGCAAACAGG